CAAGAAAAGGAAAAGGUCAGGAUAGCUCAGUUGGUAGAGCAGAGGACUGAAAAUCCUCGUGUCACCAGUUCA
RNAcentral lists this transfer RNA (72 nucleotides) under Catabrosa capusii. RNAcentral's name for it is "partial tRNA-Phe". The stretch from base 16 to 72 matches the Rfam family "tRNA", at positions 1 to 55 of the family's 71-position model. From Rfam's summary of the family: Transfer RNA (tRNA) molecules are approximately 80 nucleotides in length. Their secondary structure includes four short double-helical elements and three loops (D, anti-codon, and T loops). Further hydrogen bonds mediate the characteristic L-shaped molecular structure. tRNAs have two regions of fundamental functional importance: the anti-codon, which is responsible for specific mRNA codon recognition, and the 3' end, to which the tRNAs corresponding amino acid is attached (by aminoacyl-tRNA synthetases). tRNAs cope with the degeneracy of the genetic code in two manners: having more than one tRNA (with a specific anti-codon) for a particular amino acid; and 'wobble' base-pairing, i.e. permitting non-standard base-pairing at the 3rd anti-codon position. The record is from RNAcentral. Lineage: Eukaryota; Viridiplantae; Streptophyta; Magnoliopsida; Poales; Poaceae.